UUUCUUUUGCCGCUCAGCCACACAAGAUCACCCGCUGGACUUAAGCAUAUCAAUAAGCGGAGGA
This 64-nucleotide ribosomal RNA is filed under the name uncultured fungus. Its description in RNAcentral is "partial 28S ribosomal RNA". Lineage: Eukaryota; Fungi. The record is from RNAcentral.